GCAGUGACAAGCUGUAACGGUUGAGUAUUAAUCUAAUUUGACGUGUAUCUGGCAUGCGUUAUACGUUUACGCGUAUAUUACUGCAUACGCCGAUACUAUGUGUGCUCAGUCUGGAAUGCGGUGAGUCUAAACAACUCAGAACCUAUGUUUCAUUACAUGUAUCUGAAUUUUCAAGUGGAGGGCAAGUCUGGUGCCAGCAGCCGCGGUAAUACCAGCUCCACUGGCCUAUACAAUCAUUGUUGCGGUUAAGAGGCUCGUAGUUGGAUUGAACAACCAAUUUUGUUACAAUACUGUGAUCAAAUCAGCACGUAUCACGUAUGUAUUUUUUAAUACGCAUUGUAUGUUUAUUCAUGGAAUGUUGUAUUUUUAUAUGUCGAUGGGGAUAGUUGGAGUCAACAGUACUAGUAGGCGAGUGGUGAAAUGCAUUGACCCUACCAAGACUACCAAAAGCGAAAGCAGUUGUCUAGGCUAUAUUCUUUAUACAUCAUUACACACAUGUAUAUGUACACUCUUUACAAUGAAGAACGAAGGUUGGGGGAUCAAAGAGGAUCAGAUACCCUCGUCGUCCCAUUUUAUACAUCAAACGAUGGGUUCUCACUCGACCAAAAAAAUAUAUACUAUCCACACACAUCGUGUGUUUAUGUAUUAUAUACUGAUUUUCUAAGCUUUGCGCUCAAUUUAUAUACGGUGAGAUGUAAGUAAUGGCUUUCGUAUUUUACAUACGUUAUGCUAAAUUAUGAUGCACGCAUUAGGCAUGCGCUUACUGCAGAAAUGUCUGAGAUAUUCCCCUCCGGGGGUAGUAUGCACGCAAGUGUGAAACUUGAAGGAAUUGACGGAAGGGCACCACAAGAACGCGUGGAGCAUGUGGCUUAAUUUGACUCAACGCGGGAAAUCUUACCGGGUCCGGACACACUGAGGAUUGACAGACAAACAAUUUAUAUUGUUACAAAGAUGCUAGUUCUUUCAUGAUUAUGUGAUAGGUGGUGCAUGGCCGUUCUUAGUUCGUGGAGUGAUCUGUCUGCUUAAUUGCGUUUCAAUAUUUAAAUAUGUAUACGUAUGACCCAAUAACUAUGUUGUUGUGUGUCUAGUAUUACUAUCAUUUGAAAGCAACGAACGUGACCGUAUCCUUUUAUUAUAUACACACAUGUAUAUUGAUUUUAAAGGGACCGCUGUUUCUUUCUUUUAAACCAGAGGAAGGUUACGGCAAUAACAGGUCUGUGAUGCCCUUCGAUGUUCCGGGCUGCACACGUGCUACAAUGAUCAUUUCAUUAAGUAUCUUAUAUGUGUGUAGUUCUACUACUACGAUCCUACCCUGAGAAUGGGCGGGUAAUCAAUUAGAAGUAAUGAUUUCCUUUUUUUUAUACGCAACCAUGUACCGUUAUAUUACAUCCCAUAUACAUUCUUAUGUAUUAUGCGUGUGUGUUUUAUUAUUCGUUUGUACGCGUAACUGUUAAUUCAUGGUGGGGAUAGACCAUUGUUAAUUGUUGGUCUCGGUCUUAACUAGGAAUGCCUUGUACGGGUCAUUGGUUCAACAAACCACCCGGAAUACGUCCCUGCCCUUUGUACACACCGCCCGUCGCUCUUACCGAUGAACUUCGCUAUGAAUCUAUUGGACUGUACUCUGUGUACGGAAAGAUAUAUGAAUAGUGUGGUUUAAAGGAAAGAGAAGUCGAACAAGGCA
RNAcentral lists this ribosomal RNA (1681 nucleotides) under Elphidium margaritaceum. Its description in RNAcentral is "SSU rRNA". It matches the Rfam family "Eukaryotic small subunit ribosomal RNA", at positions 464 to 1801 of the family's 1831-position model. Lineage: Eukaryota; Foraminifera; Rotaliida; Elphidiidae. The record is from RNAcentral.